CAGUAGCCGCGGUAAUACGGAGGGUGCAGCCGUUAAUCGGAAUUACUGGGCGUAAAGCGCACGCAGGCGGUUUGUUAAGUCAGAUGUGAAAUCCCCGAGCUUAACUUGGGAACUGCAUUUGAAACUGGCAAGCUAGAGUCUUGUAGAGGGGGGUAGAAUUCCAGGUGUAGCGGUGAAAUGCGUAGAGAUCUGGAGGAAUACCGGUGGCGAAGGCGGCCCCCUGGACAAAGACUGACGCUCAGGUGCGAAAGCGUGGGGAGCAAACAGGAUUAGAUACCCGUGUAGUCCCUGUCUCUUAUAC
RNAcentral lists this ribosomal RNA (301 nucleotides) under uncultured bacterium. RNAcentral's name for it is "partial 16S ribosomal RNA". It matches the Rfam family "Bacterial small subunit ribosomal RNA", at positions 509 to 807 of the family's 1533-position model. The record is from RNAcentral.